This 116-nucleotide ribosomal RNA is filed under the name Thamniopsis secunda. RNAcentral's name for it is "partial 5.8S ribosomal RNA". It matches the Rfam family "5.8S ribosomal RNA", at positions 40 to 154 of the family's 154-position model. Rfam says of the family: 5.8S ribosomal RNA (5.8S rRNA) is a component of the large subunit of the eukaryotic ribosome. It is transcribed by RNA polymerase I as part of the 45S precursor that also contains 18S and 28S rRNA. Functionally, it is thought that 5.8S rRNA may be involved in ribosome translocation. Lineage: Eukaryota; Viridiplantae; Streptophyta; Bryopsida; Hookeriales; Callicostaceae. The record is from RNAcentral.
AGAACGCAGCGAAAUGCGAUACGUAGUGUGAAUUGCAGAAUUCCGCGAAUCAUCGAGUUUUUGAACGCAAGUUGCGCCCGAGGCUUGUCCGAGGGCAUUUCCGCUAGAGCGUCACC